RNAcentral lists this ribosomal RNA (428 nucleotides) under uncultured bacterium. Its description in RNAcentral is "partial 16S ribosomal RNA". It matches the Rfam family "Bacterial small subunit ribosomal RNA", at positions 354 to 796 of the family's 1533-position model. The record is from RNAcentral.
GUGGGGAAUAUUGGGCAAUGGGCGAAAGCCUGACCCAGCAACGCCGCGUGAAGGAAGAAGGCCCUCGGGUUGUAAACUUCUUUUAAGAGGGACGAAAGAAAUGACGGUACCUCUUGAAUAAGCCACGGCUAACUACGUGCCAGCAGCCGCGGUAAUACGUAGGUGGCGAGCGUUAUCCGGAUUUACUGGGUGUAAAGGGCGUGUAGGCGGGAGUGCAAGUCAGAUGUGAAAAUUAUGGGCUCAACCCAUAACCUGCAUUUGAAACUGUUCUUUUUGGGUGAUGGAGAGGCAGGCGGAAUUCCGUGUGUAGCGGUGAAAUGCGUAGAUAUACGGAGGAACACCAGGGGCGAAGGCGGCCUGCUGGACAUUAACUGACGCUGAGGCGCGAAAGCGUGGGGAGCAAACAGGAUUAGAAACCCUAGUAGUCC